UUUUUUGGGGGGGGUGGGGGUUAGAAUACUUCUGAGAUAAAUUAGGAAAAAAAUUCUAUGAAAUCCUUAACUCAUUUGCUGUAUUUCAAAGGAGGAUUACUCAGCAUGUAGGUUAUCCAAAACUUCACUUUCUACCCCUCUGUCUUCUAGAAAGAGUUAUUCAUUCUUAGCACUUCUAACAGAAACCAGAAUAAGAAAUUAAAAUGAAAGGAUAUCAUUUUUUUGAAGUGAUGGGGGGAGGGGUGUUUGCAGAAACUGCUAGUAAACAAAAAAGUUAAAAAAUGCCUUGACUGAGUGAAAUCCAGUAAGAAAGGAAUGUAUAAAUAUUUGUGUUUAUAUCACAUAAUUUGUGUGUAUUUUCCAAGUAAGUUAGUUCUAUAUUCAAUAAAAUUUAAAUUAUUGGAGUAUAUUCUGAGCAUUUAAGCAUUCCAUGGGAUUUUUAGUAAUAUAAGUCCUAUUCUUGGGCUAUUAAAAAUAAUAUUUGCAUGCACCUGAAG
Molecule: long non-coding RNA, 497 nt
Filed under: Bos taurus (domestic cattle)
Lineage: Eukaryota; Metazoa; Chordata; Mammalia; Artiodactyla; Bovidae
Description: long non-coding RNA NONBTAT002744
Source: RNAcentral